This 253-nucleotide ribosomal RNA is filed under the name uncultured bacterium. Its description in RNAcentral is "partial 16S ribosomal RNA". It matches the Rfam family "Bacterial small subunit ribosomal RNA", at positions 524 to 776 of the family's 1533-position model. The record is from RNAcentral.
GACAGAGGGUGCAAACGUUGUCCGGAAUUAUUGGGCGUAAAGAGCUCGUAGGCGGUUUGUCGCGUCUGCUGUGAAAAUCCAGGGCUUAACCCUGGACCUGCAGUGGGUACGGGCAGACUAGAGUGCGGUAGGGGAGAUCGGAAUUCCUGGUGUAGCGGUGAAAUGCGCAGAUAUCAGGAGGAACACCGGUGGCGAAGGCGGAUCUCUGGGCCGUAACUGACGCUGAGGAGCGAAAGCAUGGGGAGCGAACAGG